UUGGGCCUUACCCCAUCAGGUUAACUCAAAA
RNAcentral lists this non-coding RNA (31 nucleotides) under Rattus norvegicus (Norway rat). Lineage: Eukaryota; Metazoa; Chordata; Mammalia; Rodentia; Muridae. The record is from RNAcentral.